GAUGAACGCUGGCGGCGUGCCUAAUACAUGCAAGUCGAGCGAACGGACGAGAAGCUUGCUUCUCUGAUGUUAGCGGCGGACGGGUGAGUAACACGUGGAUAACCUACCUAUAAGGCUGGGAUAACUUCGGGAAACCGGAGCUAAUACCGGAUAAUAUUUUGAACCGCAUGGUUCAAAAGUGAAAGACGGUCUUGCUGUCACUUAUAGAUGGAUCCGCGCUUCAUUAGCUAGUUGGUAAGGUAACGGCUUACCAAGGCAACGAUGCAUAGCCGACCUGAGAGGGUGAUCGGCCACACUGGAACUGAGACACGGUCCAGACUCCUACGGGAGGCAGCAGUAGGGAAUCUUCCGCAAUGGGCGAAAGCCUGACGGAGCAACGCCGCGUGAGUGAUGAAGGUCUUCGGAUCGUAAAACUCUGUUAUUAGGGAAGAACAUAUGUGUAAGUAACUGUGCACAUCUUGACGGUACCUAAUCAGAAAGCCACGGCUAACUACGUG
Molecule: ribosomal RNA, 497 nt
Filed under: uncultured bacterium
Lineage: Bacteria
Description: partial 16S ribosomal RNA
Rfam family: Bacterial small subunit ribosomal RNA
Source: RNAcentral